Non-coding RNA from Caenorhabditis elegans, 127 nucleotides. The record is from Ensembl. NCBI's taxonomy places the organism in Eukaryota, Metazoa, Nematoda, Chromadorea, Rhabditida, Rhabditidae.
AAAAGGCAAUUAUUGACUGCCGCUUAGUCGCUCACAAUGAGAUGAGAGGAGAAGAAGUGGACCCCUAGCUUCCUAUUGUUUUCAAGCUUCUCUUGAUUGACAUUGAAGAGCAACGAAAUUGAAUUCC